AUCUAGCUGACGUGUCCCGUAUAGGACGAAACGCACGUCCUGAAU
RNAcentral lists this non-coding RNA (45 nucleotides) under Schistosoma margrebowiei. Lineage: Eukaryota; Metazoa; Platyhelminthes; Trematoda; Strigeidida; Schistosomatidae. The record is from RNAcentral.